This 465-nucleotide ribosomal RNA is filed under the name Vreelandella stevensii. RNAcentral describes it as "partial 16S ribosomal RNA". It matches the Rfam family "Bacterial small subunit ribosomal RNA", at positions 338 to 795 of the family's 1533-position model. Lineage: Bacteria; Pseudomonadati; Pseudomonadota; Gammaproteobacteria; Oceanospirillales; Halomonadaceae. The record is from RNAcentral.
CCUACGGGCGGCUGCAGUGGGGAAUAUUGGACAAUGGGCGAAAGCCUGAUCCAGCCAUGCCGCGUGUGUGAAGAAGGCCUUCGGGUUGUAAAGCACUUUCAGUGGGGAAGAAAGCCUUGGGGCUAAUACCCUCGAGGAAGGACAUCACCCACAGAAGAAGCACCGGCUAACUCCGUGCCAGCAGCCGCGGUAAUACGGAGGGUGCGAGCGUUAAUCGGAAUUACUGGGCGUAAAGCGCGCGUAGGCGGUCUGAUAAGCCGGUUGUGAAAGCCCCGGGCUCAACCUGGGAACGGCAUCCGGAACUGUUAGGCUAGAGUGCAGGAGAGGAAGGUAGAAUUCCCGGUGUAGCGGUGAAAUGCGUAGAGAUCGGGAGGAAUACCAGUGGCGAAGGCGGCCUUCUGGACUGACACUGACGCUGAGGUGCGAAAGCGUGGGUAGCAAACAGGAUUAGAUACCCUGGUAGUC